RNAcentral lists this ribosomal RNA (254 nucleotides) under uncultured bacterium. Its description in RNAcentral is "partial 16S ribosomal RNA". It matches the Rfam family "Bacterial small subunit ribosomal RNA", at positions 524 to 776 of the family's 1533-position model. The record is from RNAcentral.
UACGGAGGGGGGCUAGCGUUGUUCGGAAUUACUGGGCGUAAAGCGCACGUAGGCGGCUUUGUAAGUUAGAGGUGAAAGCCCGGGGCUCAACUCCGGAAUUGCCUUUAAGACUGCAUCGCUAGAAUUGUGGAGAGGUAAGUGGAAUUCCGAGUGUAGAGGUGAAAUUCGUAGAUAUUCGGAAGAACACCAGUGGCGAAGGCGGCUCACUGGCCCGAUACUGACGCUGAGGCACGAAAGCGUGGGGAGCAAACAGG